This 2248-nucleotide ribosomal RNA is filed under the name unidentified. Its description in RNAcentral is "bacterial LSU rRNA". It matches the Rfam family "Bacterial large subunit ribosomal RNA", at positions 14 to 2277 of the family's 2925-position model. The record is from RNAcentral.
AGGGCGCAUGGUGAAUGCCUUGGCAUCAGGAGCCGAUGAAGGACGUGAUAAGCUGCGAUAAGCUUCGGGUAGGCGCACAUAGCCAGAGAUCCGGAGAUUUCCGAAUGGGGAAACCCGCAUGAGAAACCUCAUGCAUCGUAAAGUGAAUACAUAGCUUUAUGAAGGAACACCUAGGGAACUGAAACAUCUAAGUACCUAGAGGAAGAGAAAGAAAAAUCGAUUUUCUUAGUAGCGGCGAGCGAAAAGGAAAGAGCCCAAACCAGAGAUUUAUCUCUGGGGUUGCGGACAGAACAUAACGUGAAAUUAUGAUUAACCGAACACAACUGGAAAGUUGGACCGUAGGAGGUAAUAGUCCUGUAAGUAAAAGUCAUAAUGAUCAGUUCUGCACCAGAGUACCACGAGACACGUGAAACCUUGUGGGAAGCAGGGAGGACCACCUCCCAAGGCUAAAUACUACCUGAUGACCGAUAGUGAAGCAGUACCGUGAGGGAAAGGUGAAAAGAACCCCGGGAGGGGAGUGAAAUAGAACCUGAAACCAUGUGCCUACAACCGAUCAAAGCACCUUAUGUGUGUGAUGAUGUGCUUUUUGUAGAACGAGCCAACGAGUUACGGUAUGUAGCGAGGUUAAGUACUUAAGGUACGGAGCCGAAGGGAAACCGAGUCUUAAUAGGGCGACUAGUUGCAUGCUGUAGACCCGAAACCGGGUGACCUAUCCAUGGCCAGGUUGAAGCGAGGGUAAAACCUCGUGGAGGACCGAACCACGUUGCUGUUGAAAAAGCAUGGGAUGAGCUGUGGAUAGCGGAGAAAUUCCAAUCGAACUCGGAUAUAGCUGGUUCUCCUCGAAAUAGCUUUAGGGCUAGCGUCGUGAAAUGUGAGUACUGGAGGUAGAGCACUGAAUAGGCUAGGGGGCAUAGCGCUUACCGAACCUUAUCAAACUCCGAAUGCCAGAUACUAUCAGCACGGCAGUCAGACUAUGAAAGAUAAGUUCCAUGGUCAAAAGGGAAACAGCCCAGAUCGUCAGCUAAGGUCCCAAAGUGUAAGUUAAGUGGAAAAGGAUGUGGGAUUUCUAAGACAACUAGGAUGUUGGCUUAGAAGCAGCCACUCAUUAAAAGAGUGCGUAAUAGCUCACUAGUCAAGAGAUCCUGCGCCGAAAAUGUCCGGGGCUCAAACUUACCACCGAAGCUACGGGUUCAUACUUUGUAUGAGCGGUAGAGGAGCGUCGUAAUCGGGCUGAAGUCGUACCGUAAGGAGCGGUGGACUGAUUACGAGUGAGAAUGUUGGCAUUAGUAGCGAGAUGUAGGUGAGAAUCCUACAGGCCGAAUAUCUAAGGUUUCCUGAGUAAAGUUUGUCUUCUCAGGGUUAGUCGGGACCUAAGGCGAGGCCGAGAGGCGUAGUCGAUGGACAAUUGGUUGAUAUUCCAAUACCACUAUAAUCGUUAUUAUCGAUGGUGUGACGGAGAAGGAUAGGAUGUGCCAGCUAUUGGAUGCUGGUCUAAGCGUUGAGGGAGUUAGAACAGGCAAAUCCGUUCUAACAAUCCUAGGGCGUGAUGGGGAAGGUUCUACGGAACCGAAGUAUCUGAUUUCAUGCUUCCAAGAAAAGCAUCUAGAAAGAGAAGUAGUGCCCGUACCGCAAACCGACACAGGUAGAUGAGGAGAGAAUCCUAAGGCCGACGGAAGAAUCACAGUUAAGGAACUAGGCAAAUUGACCCCGUAACUUCGGGAGAAGGGGUGCCUACCAUUUGGUAGGCCGCAGAGAAUAGGCACAAGCAACUGUUUAACAAAAACACAGGUCUCUGCUAAAGCGUAAGCUGAUGUAUAGGGGCUGACGCCUGCCCGGUGCUGGAAGGUUAAGGGGAACACUUAGCGCAAGCGAAGGUGUGAACUUAAGCCCCAGUAAACGGCGGCCGUAACUAUAACGGUCCUAAGGUAGCGAAAUUCCUUGUCAGGUAAGUUCUGACCCGCACGAAUGGCGUAAUGACUUGUGCACUGUCUCAACUGUGAAUCCGGCGAAGUUGUAGUGCGAGUGAAGAUGCUCGCUACCCGCGAUUGGACGGAAAGACCCCGUAGAGCUUUACUGUAGCUUAGCAUUGAAUUUCGGUAUUGUCUGUACAGGAUAGGUGGGAGACUGGGAAAUUAGGGCGUCAGCCUUAAUGGAGUCGUUGUUGGGAUACCACCCUGAUAGUAUUGAAGUUCUAACUGGAUGCCAUGAAACUGGUGACAGGACAUUGUUAGGUGGGCAGUUUGACUGG